GUUUUUUUCUCUUGAACAUAGAAGGAAAAUAUGUAUUUUUUUUUAAACACGAUCAAUGUCACAGUGAUGCAGAUAUUGAUAUAGGGAAUGGAAAUAUCAAUUUUUUUAAAUUAGGAGGCAUGUCAUUGUACUGCAUGUAAAGAUAUUUGUCAAAGAUCUUGGGCAAAAUACUAAUUCAAGAUCUUGCUGUCCUUUUAUUCAGCUAUUCUUUAGACCCAUCAAUUAUUGGUUUUGUAGUGCCGCAUUGAUCAGUGCUUUCCUGUCCUCUUUUUCAUUUUGUAUUGUAAUCUCUCCUUUUUGAGUUUACUCUUACCCUAUAUGUUUUUUUUCAUUACUAUCCCCAUUCUCCCUUUAUACUUUUUGAUUCCUAGUGGCUUUUUUUCUUCCUCAACCUCCACCUUGUAAUUUAGAGUUUUAUAUUUCUAUUUGUGUCUUUUGGGGUUAUUUUUUGUGAUCAGGAGCGCUAAUGAAUUUAAAGCAACACAAUAGUGUAUACUAUACCUAUCCGUAGUUAUUUAUAGGGCCCCCUUAUGUGCAGUAUAAUAUAAAAUAAAAACAUGUUACUUAUCUUUCUCUGGUGUCAUGACUGCCUCAGUGUUGCCGCCCGCUCCUCCCGAUGAGUUGUCGUCAUCCGGAAGGCAUACCUCCUGGAUGAUGGUCCAGUCCAAUGACCCUCAUAUCGGAACAUUGGGGACUGUAUGAUUUAAUGUAAUGAUUCUCUAUGACAAGCAUGUCAUCAUGGUUUGUCUGGGUAUGAGAUGCAGGAACUUACAUUCCUAGCUCUCCUAGACAAAGGGCUUGGCGGCUUGACUUAUAGCCGCACUUCAAAGCCUUCAAAUUACUUAUGUACUACAUUUUGGAGGAGUAGUCAAGUGGGGAACAACAUUAGCACUAUAGCAACUUCAAUUAGAUUAAGUUGUUAUAGUAAUUACAGAGCUUGUGAGGAAGGCUGAACUUGAUGGACGCAAGUCUCUUUUCAGCUAUGUAACUAUGUAACUAUGUAACUUUAACGCUUUAACGCUUAGUAAGCAUAUUUUCUCAGUUGUCCCAGGUUAGGCAGUUCCCAAGCUCUAAGUUAAUUUCACUACUUUCUCACCUUUGGAUCUUUGUUGCUUUGAUGUAUGCCAGCACUCUGUGUCUUUUUGACCACAAUACUUUAAAUCACUUUGUCUGUAAAUCAUUUGUCUACCUGUCCUCUGUUGCAUUAGAGCAUAAUUCAAUAUGCAUUUGAAUAUAUGUGGCUAUCUGUACAUUUUAAC
This is a non-coding RNA of Pelobates cultripes (western spadefoot toad), 1259 nucleotides long. The record is from the annotation of a GenBank genome assembly. NCBI's taxonomy places the organism in Eukaryota, Metazoa, Chordata, Amphibia, Anura, Pelobatidae.